RNAcentral lists this ribosomal RNA (253 nucleotides) under uncultured bacterium. RNAcentral's name for it is "partial 16S ribosomal RNA". It matches the Rfam family "Bacterial small subunit ribosomal RNA", at positions 524 to 776 of the family's 1533-position model. The record is from RNAcentral.
UACAGAGGGUGCGAGCGUUAAUCGGAAUUACUGGGCGUAAAGCGUGCGUAGACGGUUAUUUAAGUCGGGUGUGAAAGCCCCGGGCUCAACCUGGGAAUUGCAUUCGAUACGGGCUAGCUAGAGUGUGGUAGGGGAGAUCGGAAUUCCUGGUGUAGCGGUGAAAUGCGCAGAUAUCAGGAGGAACACCAGCGGCGAAGGCGGCGCUCUGGGCCGGAACUGACGCUGAGGAGCGAAAGCGUGGGGAGCAAACAGG